Molecule: transfer RNA, 72 nt
Filed under: Camelus bactrianus (Bactrian camel)
Lineage: Eukaryota; Metazoa; Chordata; Mammalia; Artiodactyla; Camelidae
Also listed under: 1 other name
Rfam family: tRNA
About the family: Transfer RNA (tRNA) molecules are approximately 80 nucleotides in length. Their secondary structure includes four short double-helical elements and three loops (D, anti-codon, and T loops).
Source: Rfam by way of RNAcentral
GAGGAUAUAGCUCAGCGGCAGAGCACUUGCUUAGCAAGCGUGAGGUCCUGGGUUCAACCCCCAGUAACUCCA